Molecule: ribosomal RNA, 253 nt
Filed under: uncultured bacterium
Lineage: Bacteria
Description: partial 16S ribosomal RNA
Rfam family: Bacterial small subunit ribosomal RNA
Source: RNAcentral
UACGGAGGGUGCGAGCGUUAAUCGGAAUUACUGGGCGUAAAGGGUGCGUAGGUGGUUGGAUAAGUUAUCUGUGAAAGCCCCGGGCUCAACCUGGGAAGGUCAGAUAAGACUGUUCGACUCGAGUAUAGGAGAGGGUAGUGGAAUUUCCGGUGUAGCGGUGAAAUGCGUAGAGAUCGGAAGGAACACCAGUGGCGAAGGCGGCUAUCUGGCCUGAUACUGACACUGAAGCACGAAAGCGUGGGGAGCAAACAGG